This is a non-coding RNA of Callithrix jacchus (white-tufted-ear marmoset), 34339 nucleotides long. The record is from RefSeq and is a predicted model, not a curated record. NCBI's taxonomy places the organism in Eukaryota, Metazoa, Chordata, Mammalia, Primates, Cebidae.
CUUCAGGGUGUCCGGGGGACGCAGCUCUUCCUCCCUGACCCCUCGGGCCUGUGCUGGGGGGCGGCCCUGGAAAUAGCUCGAAGGAAGGAGCCCCAGUGACUCGGGUGACGGUCUGGAAAUUCAGUGGCGUCAGCUCUCGUAACCCCUACACGCUGCAUCUGGAGACUCAACCCCGCUGAGCUCUGGGGUCGUAGCUGCAGCUGCCUCGGCGCUCCAAGACCAGAGAGGAAGCAAAGGCAGAGCUUCGCAGCCAGGCAUCGCUGCUUUGGCCUUGCAGUUUUGUUUUUGCUGCCCAGGCUGGAGUGCAAUGGAGCAAUCUUGGCUCACUGCAACCUCUGCCUCCCAGGUUCGAGUGAUUCUCCUGCCUUAGCCUCCCAAGUAGCUGGGAUUACAGGAAUCGCCGCCCACUGAGCUUCUGUUCAAACCUCAGUGGCUCAUAAUCUAAGUUUGCAAACACUGAGCAGGGAGGAGUCAUGCCUGCAGGGCCCCAGGAGUCCCUGGAUUUAGGUCCUGAUCACUCUGCUCCACCCAGGUCCCUGGAAGAUGACACUCCUGGAUCCCUCACAUGACCACGCAGGACGUCUUGGGUGGAGACUGAGCCACUGCCUGCCACCAGGGUGACUGCUCCUCCAAGAGUUGCCCAGAGCUGAAGUGCACCUUGUGUGAGGGGAGACGCACCUUUGCUGUGCUCAGCCUUGAGGUUUGGUGCUGUCUGCUGCUGCAGCACAUGCUGGCCUCUCCUGACGUCUCAGCGGUCCCUGGGCUAGCUGAGGCUCCACCGGCCCCAUGAUAGCUGAUCUGCCUCUUCUCUAGUCUCUUGGGAUCUGCGCCCUGCCCCUUCUCUAUCAAAUAUUCCUGGCUGGCCGAUUGAAAUACUAAUAUGAGCUAAUAUCUUUUAAAAAAAUUGACAAAACAAUAUACAUGUAUGUUGUAAAGCAUGACAUGUGAGAUAUACAGUGUGUAUACACUGUGGGUGUCUAAAUCAAGCUAAUUAACAUAUCCAUUACCUCACCUACUUUAUUAAUUUUUUUUUUUUUUCUGAGACGGAGUUUCGCUCUUGUUACCCAGGCUGGAGUGCAAUGGCGCGAUCUCAGCUCACCGCAACCUCCGCCUUCUGGGUUCAAGCAAUUCUCCUGCCUCAGCCUCCUGAGUAGCUGGGAUUACAGGCACGCGCCACCAUGCCCAGCUAGUUUUUUGUACUUUUAGUAGAGACGGGGUUUCACCAUGUUGACCAGGAUGGUCUCGAUCUCUUGACCUCGUGAUCCACCCGCCUCGGCCUCCCAAAGUGCUGCAAGCUAAGUUCUUAACGGCUGACGUGGGUGUUAUGCUAUUGGUUAGCCUUAUUUCCCAUCGAAUCUUCUCUUAGGCAUAACCUAGUCCUUUGAGCUUCUUCGGUGGGGGGGGGGAGGGGCGGGUCCUCCCUGGGCCUGCGCCGUCCUGCUCCCUGCGUGGGCCUUGCUUCCGGCUGCACAGGUGCACCACGGGCCUUCCUUUAACGCAGAAUUCAGUUGCUCGCGGACUUGCCCAGCGUCCAGAGCCGGAGCUGGGCGCGGGCAGCAGGCUCCUCACUGGCAGGUCUGUUGGAAACGUUUCACCAGCUGCCUAUGGCCUGGGGGUUCCUGGAGGGCAGUUCAGAGGUCCAGCCCCCGGCCCCCACGCCUGCGGAUUAUCUGCGCGGUCCCGAGUUAGCGGAACUGUGGAGGCUUCGGGUCACCCACCCGAGUCACCGGACUAAGGGUCUCGCUCUGGAGGAGUGCAGUAUGGCGACCUCGGCUCCUGCAGCCUCGGACCUCCUGGGCUCAAGCAAGCCGCCUUCCUCAGUCUCCUGGGUAGCUGGGACCACAGGCUGGGACCGCCACAACAGGUUUUGUUUAUUUUGUUGUUUUUUUAGGUAGAGAGGGGUCUCACUAUGUAUCCCAGGCUGGCCUUGAGCACCUGGGCUCAAGCUAUCCUACUGCUUCACCUCCCUAAGUGCUGGGAUUCAGACGUGAGCCACCGCGCACGGGCCCUCUUGAUAUGUUUACGUGGCUACGGGGACCGGGUAGCUAAUUCACAUGAAUGCCACUAGCUUGAGUACGGCCUUGCCAGUACUGGAAGAAGGGCCGCUGCUGGUGGUGUGAGGAUGACGACUGUAGUUUAAAAUGAGGAAACUGAGGCCAGUGUAAGAAAAUGAAAUGCCAGUUGAUUCAGCUCCCAGGCGAGGUUCUAUGGUCUGGAGAAAGGCGCCAGAGAAGUUGCACUGACUUCCUGGGGCGGGGUAGGGGCUGGGGGUGGUGGGAGUGGUGGUGGUUUUUAUGGCUAGGAGGAACGAGCAUAGCUGGGUGCUCUGACUGGGUCCAGGGGAGCAGGAUUGAGACGGGGCGGGCCGCUAUUGGUUGGCAGGUGGUUGGGCGGGUUUUCCGGUGGAAGAGCCGGCCAGGGUUGCAUUAGCUGGAGCCUUCCAAGGGGGCCACGUGGCAGAGCUAGGUGAGGAGUGCAGAGCUUGGUGCCAGGUGCAGAGUCAGGUGCUGAGUGCAGAGGUGGGUGUGUCCGGCCUCCCAGCGAGGCAACUGGCCUUACAAGGAUGGUAGCCACUGUUUGCAUCUUGAGGGCCUACUGUGUCCGGGGACUUUGCGGAGCAGUUUGCGUUCAGGGCCUUUAUCCUGACCACAGACCCGCGAGGAUCUAUCCAUUCCUACCCAACACCAACCUCUUACAUUGAUGUAGAACACCUGUCAGUCUAAGGCAUCGUCUCUCCGCCUCUGACUUCACACUUGCUUUUCCUUCAUUUCUUCCUUGGUGCACUUUCGCAGUCACUGUGGCUGUGUGCCAAACCACCUGGAAACCUAGUGGCUCGACAAUGUCCACACUUACUUCAGUCCUGAAUCUGCAAAUUGGGCAGGGUUGGCUGGCUGAACUGUUUCAAAGACCCUGCUCUGAGGAGAUGGUUUUCCAUGACAAAAACCAAUCUCCGUCCAGGGCCACUGAGGCUUGGAGGAAGCUGACUGCCAGGACCCAGAGAGCCACAUCGAGUUUGAUACUUCUGCACCCUAAUGCUGGAGGGGGUGUGGAUCAGGAGGCUGAGACCCACAAAGAAUAAACAGCUCCACCCAAGUCAUGCAAAAUUACAAAGCAGUUACUUUAGGUAGGAAGAGGGUGGAGUUGGGUGCCAUAGGCUUCUCUGUGACGUUCUGAUGUACAGUCAUCCAGCAGGUGGAGGAAGACAGGGAGCUGUUGAGAGAGACUCAGCUGAUGUCAGCGGCUGGGCGGGGAUCCUAGUUCCCCCACCCGGUGCCCGCUGGGGACCAUUCUCUUCCCAGAGCAGCUCUUCAUGUUAUUUAUCAAGACUAGGGUUUUUUUCCUCAUGUAAAUCACUUACAACUUUUGUUUUUGUCCCGACUUGUGUCUUUUAAAACACAUUCCAUGCCUCUUCAUUUCUUCUUGCUUAGUAAUAAAAACAGGCCGUGGCAAUGUCCUUAAGUUUCGCUGGGUGAUUUUACUCAUCAGUCCUGUCUUAAGUAAAUGCAGUUUUGUUUUUCUUGUGAGCUGACAUUUCUCUUUUCUUUUUUUUUUUUUUUUUGAGACGGAGUUUCGCACUUGUUACCCAGGCUGGAGUGCAAUGGCGCGAUCUCGGCUCACCACAACCUCCGCCUCCUGGGUUGAGGCAAUUCUCCUGCCUCAGCCUCCUGAGUACCUGGGAUUACAGGCACGUGCCACCAUGCCCAGCUAAUUUUUUUUUGUAUUUUUAGUAGAGACGGGGUUUCACCAUGUUGACCAGGAUGGUCUCGAUCUCUUGACCUUGUGAUCCACCCGCCUCGGCCUCCCAAAGUGCUGGGAUUACAGUCGUGAGCCACCGCUCCCGGCCUUUUUUUUUUUGAGACAGAGUCUCUGUGGCCCAGAGUAGAGUGCAAUGGCUUUAUCUCAGCUCACUGCAACCUCCGACACCUGGGUUUAAGCAGUUUUCCUGCCUCAGCCUCCGGAGUAGCUGGGAUUACAGGCAUGCGCCACCACACCCAGCUAAUUUUGUAUUUCUAGUAGAGACAGGAUUUCUCCAUGUUGCUCAGGCUGGUCUUGAACUCCUGACCUCAGGUGAUCCGCCCACUCAGCCUCCCAAAGUGCUUCUAUUAGAGGCAUGCACCACGGCACCCGGCCUGCUCCUUUUAAAAAAAGAAAGCAUUCAUGUGACAACUGAUGUCUGUGAAGAAACAUUUGUGAGUGUUGGGAGGAGGGUGGGGUGGCAGGGAUUGACUUCAUUAGCAAUAUUGAUUAUAUUAUUCAAGGUCUUCAUAUGCCUGUGGAUUCUUGAUCUGCUGCCUCUAUCAAAAAUCAUAAGAGAUACAGUAAAGCCUCCCAGUGCAAUUACAUUUUUGUCAAUUUACCCUUGUAUUUUUAAAGUUUUCUUUUAUUACAUUUUAGUGGAAUAUUUCCCAUGUAGGAAGUAUUGUGCAAUUUGUCAUUUCAUGAUUUAGAUCCUUUAGAAAAAUAAAAUGACCUCCUUUGGCUUAUUUUCAUAGUUUUUGUUUUAGAUUCUACCUUCUGUGAAACUUUUUUUAAUAAACUUUUUUUUUUUUUUGAGACAGUUUCGCUCUUGUUACCCAGGCUAGAGUGCAAUAGCGCGAUCUCUGCUCACCGCAACCUCUGCCUCCUGGGUUCAGGCAAUUCUCCUGCCUCAGCCUCUUGAGUAGCUGGGAUUACAGGCACGCACCACCAUGCCCAGCUAAUUUUUUUGUAUUUUUAGUAGAGACGGGGUUUCACCUUGUUGACCAGGAUGGUCUCGAUCUCUUGACCUCGUGAUCCACCCGCCUCGGCCUCCCAAAGUGCUGGGAUUACAGGCUUGAGCCACCACGCCCAGCCUAUAAACUUUUUUUUAAAGACAGGGUUUCACCAUGUUGGUUAGGCUGGUCUUGAACUCCCGACCUCAGGUGAUCCACCCGCCUUGGCCUCCAAAGUGCUUGGAUUACAGACAUGAGCCACCAUGCCCAGCCUAAAACUUUUUUUUUUUAAAUGUGACAUCUGCUCUUUUCACUUGCUGGUUUGCAAUUGACCUAGGACAUUUUCGCCCAUUCCUUUGCUUUUGUUAGCAAAUCCAUAAUGAGCAUCUCCUAUACGUAUGCCACGUGUUGUCUCAGAAUUGGGCUUUGCAGAGUGCCAUGGAGGAGACAUGUUUCUUGCCUUUGUGAACUCACAUUGCACGCCUCACUCUAUUUUAAUUGUGUCACUUAUAAGCAGCAGAUAGUUGGAUACCGUUUUUUGAGUUUAGUAAACCAAGUUUGUCUUAUUAUAGAGGUAUUUGAACUACCCACAUUUGUCACUGUAACUAAUACCUUUGGUGUUAUUUUUGUCACAUUGUUUCAUGCUGAUUUAUUUAUUUAUUUUUUAUUAUACUUUAAGUUCUGGGGUACAUGUGCAGAACAUGCAGGUUUGUUACAUAGGUGUACAUGUGCCAUGGUGGGGGUUUGCUGCAUCCAUUCCCACCCCCGCUGCUAUCCCUCCCCUAGCCCCCCACUCCCUGACUGGCCCCAGUGUGUGAUGUAUUGGGUGCAUAUAUAUUUAGGAUCAUUAGCUCUUGUUGCAGUGAUCCCUUUACCAGUAAUACUCUUCUUUGUCUCUUUUGAUCUUUAUUGGUUUAAAGUCCAUUUUAUCAAAGACUAGGAUUGCAACUCCUGGUUUUUUUUUUUCUCUCCAUUUGCUUGGUGAAUCUUCCUCCAUCCCUUUAUUUUGAGCCUAAGUGUGUCUUUGCACAUGAGAUGGGUCUCCUGAAUAUAGCACACUGAUGGUCUUGACUCUUUAUCCACGUCACCAGUCUGUAUCUUUUGACUGGGACAUUUAGCCCAUUUACAUUUGAGGUUAAUAUUGUUAUGUGUGAAUUUGAUCCUGUCUUUUUUAUGCUAGCUGGUUGUUCUGCCUGUUAGUUGGUGCAGUUUAUUCAUAGUCUUGGUGGUCUUUAUAAUUUGGCAUGUUUUUGCAGUGGCUGGUACAGGUUGUUUCUUUCCAUGUUUAGUGCUUCCUUCAGGGGCUCUUAUAAGGCAGGCUUGACAGUAAUAAAAUCUCUCAGCAGUUACUUGUCUGUAAAGGGUUUUAUUUUUCCUUCACUUAUGAAACUUAAUUUGGCUGGAUAUGAAAUUCCAGCUUAAAAAUUCUUUUCUAUAAGAAUGUUGAAUAUUGGCCCCCACUCUCUUCUGGCUUGUAGGGUUUCUGCUGAGAGAUCUGCUGUGAGUCUGAUGGGCUUCCCUUUGUGAUUAACCCAGCCUUUCUCUGUGGCUGUCCUUAGCAUUUUUUCCUUAAUGUCAACCCUGGUGAAUCUGACAAUUAUAUGCCUUGGGGUUGCUCUUCUCGAGGAAUAUCUUUGUGGUGGUCUCUGCACUUCCUGUAUUUGAAUGUUGGCCUGCCAUGUUAGGUUGGGGAAGUUCUCCUGGAUAAUAUCCUGAAGAGUAUUUUCCAACUUGGUUUCAUUCUCCCCAUCACAUUCAGGUAUACCUAUCAAAUGUAGAUUUGGUCUUUUUCACAUAAUCCCGUAGUUUCUGGAGGCUUUGUUAUUUCUUUUCACUCUUUUUUCUCUAAUCUUGCUUUUGUGCUUUAUUUCAUUGAGUUGAUCUUCAAUCUCUGAUAUCCUUUCUUCCAAUUGAUUGAUUCGGCUAUUGAAACUUGUAUAUGCUUCACAAAGUCCUCGUGCUGUGUUUUUUACCUCCAUCAAGUCGUUUAUGUUCUUCUCUAUGCUGAUUAUUCUAGUUAGCCUUUCAUCUAGCCUGUUUUCAAGGUUCUUAGUUUCCUUGCAUUGGGUUAGAACAUGCUCCUUUAGCUUGGAGAAUUUUAUUACCCACCUUCCGAAGCCUGUUUCUGUCAAUUUGUCAAACUCAUUCUCUAUCCAGUGUUGUUCCUUUGCUGGUGAGGGGUUGUGAGCCCUUGGAGAAGAGGUGUUCUGGUUUUUGGUGAUUUCAGCCUUUUUGUGUUGGUUUCUUCCCAUCUUCAUAGAUUUAUCUACCUUUGGUCUGAAGUUGGUGACUUUUGGAUAGGUUCUCUGAAUGGACAGACUUUCUGUUGAUAAUCAAGCUAUUUCUUUCUGUUUAUUAGUUUUCCUUCUAACUGGCCGCUCUGCUGUAGGUCUGCUGGAGUUUGCUGGAGGUCUACUACAGACCCUGCUUGUAGUAGAGGCUGCAGAACAGCAAAGAUUUCCCAGGCUGGAGUGCAGUGGCGCAUGAUCUCGGCUCAUUGCAAUCUCCAUCUCCUGGGUUCAAGUGAUUCUCCUGACUCGGCUUCCCCAGUAGCUGGGAUUACAGGCUAAGUUUUGUAUUUUUAGUAGGGUUUCACCAUGUUGGCCAGGCUGCUCUUGAAGUCCUGACCUCAGGUGAUCUGCUCACCUUAGCCUCUGAAAGUGCUGGGAUUACAGGUGUGAGCCACCGUGCCCCGCCUUUUUGAGCAUUUUGAAUAUGUGAUUCCAGUGCUUUCUGGCCACCAUUUUUUUUUUUUUCUGAUGAGAAUUCAGCUGUGAAUCUUAUGUGAAUUCUUUUGGAAGGGACAAGUUUUUUUUCUUUGUUUAUUUUUAGGUUUUCAAAAUUGUCUACUUGUUUUUGACUUUCAGCUUUCCCCCACCAGCACGUUGACUAUUUGAGAUAAAGUACAUUUCACUCUUUGUGGUUCUCUGUGGUUAUCCUACUUGGAGUUGGUUGAGCUUCCUGGAUGUAUAUUGUUUUUCAAUCAAACUUAGAAAUGUUAUAGUCAUGAUUUCUUUGAAUAUUCUUCCUUCUCUCUCCUCUCCUGGUACUCUCAUGAUGUGUGCGCUAGCACGCUUGAUGGUGUCUCGUCUAUCCCGGAAGCUCUGUUCAUUUUUCUCUCUGCUCUUUGACUUGCAUACUCUCUGGUGAUCUAUCUUUAAGGUAACGAAUCCUUUCUUCUGCCAGUUUUAAUCGGCCGUUGAGUCCCUCUAGUGAAAUUUAUUUCCAUGACUGUACUUUCUAAUUCCAGUAUCUUCAUUUAAAGAAUAAUUUAUCUCUGUUUGUUGAUAUUUCCUAUUUGAUGUGAUACUGUCUUCACACUUUACUUCUUGGGUCAUGGUUUUCUUUAGUUCUUCGAACAUAUUUUAAUGGCCACUUUAAAGUCUUUGUUAAAUCUGACACCUAUUUAACUGCUCUUGUCACAAAAUAGCUAUGGGAGAUGAUGGCUGUGUUAAUCUGUUUCACUAUUGUAACCAUUUUUCUGUGUAUACAUAUCUCAUAACACCAUGCUGUAAAUCUCAAAUAUAGACAAAUAGAAUUUAUUUAAAAAAAUCUGACAUCGAGUUACUCUCACAGGAACUUUCUCUUGACAUUUUUCUGGUGUACAGAUUAUGCUUUCCUGUUUCUUAGCAUGUUUCAGUAUUUUUUUGCUGAUAUUUUAGAUAAUAGAUAAUAUAUUGUAGCAACUUGGGUUGCUGGGCGCUCAUCUUCAUUUUCCUCAAAGGGCUUGCUAUUUACUUGUUUAUUUUUUAGUGAAUGGCUGGAUUGUUUAAGUGAAAUCUACUCCCCCUGGUGUUGAACAUUUGAUAAUGCUUCUUCAGGCAGUGCUGGAUCCCAGGUCACAGUGAUGGCCGAGGUUUUGGCAGUCCCUCUCUGAAUGUCUCUUUCCCUGACCGCACCUAGCUUUAAGCCCCGGUGAUUGCUGGCUGAUUAUGCUGUUUAAUCCCAAUGCCCUUGGGAUUAAAUUGCUCUACAGAGGGAGUCAGUCAAGUACAAGAUCCUUUGAAGGAGUGGUUCUGGAGGUUGAUACUGUUGGCCCUCCAUAUUAGUGAGUUCCACAGCCAUGCGUUCAACCAACUGCAGAUAGAAAAUGCUUUUUUUUUUUUUUUUUUUUUUUUACAAAAAAGAAGAUGGUUAUGUUUGUAUUGAACUUUUUUUCUUUGUCAUUAUUCCCGAUACAAUACAGUAUAAUAAAUAUUUACCUAGCAUUUACAUUAGUAUUUACAUUGCAUAAGUAAUUUAAUGAUUCCAAGUAUAUGGGAGGAUAUGUUUAUUUUAUAUGCUAAUAGUAGGCCAUUUUAUACCAGAGACUUAUGCACUCAUGGAGUUUGGUAUCCUUGGGGAGUCCCGGAACCAAGCCUUGUGGAUAUGAGCUGUAUUUGAUAUUACGUUCUGAGUCCAGGUGGACUCCUCAAGUUCCCUGGGAAAAAUCUCCAAGCAAUGGUUAUUGAGCAGUGGUGCUGACUGCCGGGCACUCAUCCAGUCGUCAUGGCAUGCUGGAGUGGCCUUUGGUGCCCCCCGGGGAGUGUGGCUGAGGUCCGAGGCCUUGUGGCUGGUGUCUGGCCAGUUUCAGCUCGGACCCCUUGCUGGGCUCUGCUCAUCUCGACUCCCCAUGGCACCAGCAACCUCACUCAAACUGUGUUUGCACACAUGUGCCUCUGAUUUCUUCUGUAGGAUUUUAUCCUGCAAACGUGCUCACAGUUGAGUAAAGACAGUGACAGAUGUGUUCACAGAAGCAGUGUUUGCAUCAAAAGUCAGGAAACAUCUGAUGCCCACCAAACAGGAUGACUUAAGUAUCACCCAUUCACACAAUGGCAUGUGUCUUCCAGAAAGCAGGAUUCUGUGGUCAGGAUACUUGGACGAGUGCACAGCAUGCUCCCACAUGUACAGAGCACUCACAGAAUAUCCUCAUGCAUGCCCCACAUGUACAGAGCACUCACAGAAUAUCCUCAUGCAUGCCCAUGUGUGCUUGGGUGUCCGGAGGGACAUGUGGCACACUGCAGGCUCCUUGGGAAUGGAUGUCCGGACCCCAGUUCUCUGAAUCACUCUGUUUUAACUAAAUCAGCACUUCAUCUCCUUUAAGCUCGCUUUUACUCUACUUCUAUUAUAUGUGUUUAAAAUCCAUUCAUGACUUUAUAAAAACAUCUCUUUGGGAGAAAGUGAGCCUGGGAAGGAAGUGUGGAUUAGGGGCUUUGCUUUUUCCUUAAGAUGAUCUAUUUUCUCCCUGCUCUUUACAAGUCAUUUUCAUGAGCCACUUGGGAAUGUCCUUUUUAUUCACUGUGGAUUCCAGACAAACCCAGACUCUUGUGCUGCACAGCCCAGCCCACAGCAGCCUUGGCCCAAGAAGCUGGGCUGGAGCUAAGAGUGUGACCCUGCCCUGCCUGCUGCAGGGGCACAGGCAGCUAUCGGUGGAGGUGGAGGUGCCCCAAGAGAAAAGGGGGACCCCCACAUGGUGCCUUCUGGUUACAGAGGGGGCCCGCCAGGAUCUCUGCCUGCAACUGUGAGACACCUGGACUGGCCAUUUUCUCCCCCUUAGCUUUUGUGGGCAGAGAUUCCAGGUGCAACUGUGGAGGAAGAAAACCAAUGGUCACUUCAUGCAAAGCUUUGUCCCAUGAGUUGACCUGGUGACCUAUGUAGAGUAGGCCUAGCUGGCUUUAGGACCCUGCAGGCUGUGGUGAAGGGGGUGGGGGAUUUGCCAGGUUAGGGGGCCUCAGGGCAGGUCUAGUCCCAUCUUGUCAAAGUCUCUCUGAUGGCAGCACAGGUGAUUGGUGUCACUGGCUUUUUAGGGAUGGAUUUGAGUUGAAGCAUGACCAAAUGAGCUCCAGCUAGACCCAGGGCAACCCUGGGGGUCUUCUCCAACUCAGGCUGAAGGGGAGCAGAGACUUUCCUGGAUUUCUUCUUGGAGCCAGAGAGGCAAAAGUGUGGCCAGCUGCUACCCCAGCUGCUGUGCUCCAGAAUCAGCCAUUUCUCCAGGGAUUCUGUUUUCUUUUUUCUUUUUCUUUUUUUAAAAGAUGGGGUUUCACCAUGUUGAUCAGGCUGGUCUUGAACUCCCGAUCUCAGGUGAUCCACCCGCCUUGGCCUGCAAAGUGCUUGGAUUACGGGCGUGAGCCACCAUGCCCGGCUGGAUCCUGUUUUCUUUAAUUGGAAAAUGGUAUAGAGCCCAAGAUCUGGGUGCUGGCUAUUCUCCUGGCCACUGGAGAGCUGCUACUCUAGCCUCUCUCAGUGGACAGAGCUAGGACACGUUUGUAUGUGAACUCACCCAUUUGUAUACCAUGUUAGUGUAUUUGCAUUGCCAGAAAGGAAUACCUGAGGCUGGGUAAUUUAUAAAGAGAAAAGGUUUAUUAGGCUCAUGGUUCUACAGGCUGUGCAGGCCUGGAGCCAGCAUCUGUUUCAGCGAGAAGCUUUCAGUCAUGGUGGAAGGAGAAGUGGGAGCUGGUGUGUCACAUGCAACAGAAGGAGCAAGAGAUGGGGAAGGGGUGUCAGGAUCUUUUCUUCUUCUUUCUUCCUUCUUCCUCCUUCCUCCUCCUCCUCCUCCUUCCUUUCUUCUUCUGCCUUUUUUUUUUUUUUUGAGAUGGAGUUUUGCUCUUGUUGCCCAGGCUGGAGUGCAGUGGUGUGAUAUCAGCUCACUACAACCUCUGCCUCCCGGAUUCAAGUGAUUCUUCUGCCUCAGCCUCCCAAGUAGCUGGGAUUACAGGCGCCCUGCACCGCACCCAGCUAAUUUUUUGUAUUUUUAGUAGCGACGGGGUUUCACCACGUUGGCCAGGCUGGUCUUGAACUCCUGACCUCAGGUGAUUCGCCUGCCUCAGGCCCAAAGUGCUGGGAUUACAGGCGUGAGCCAAUGCACCCUGCCUAGGCUCUUUUUGACAACCAGCCCUUGUGUGGACUAACAGCACGAACUCACUCACUCAUCACAGUGAGGAGAGCACCAAGCUAUUCAUGAGACAGCUGCAGACACUGGGGCUCACAUCCAAACCACACUAUAUCCUGUGCCUUUAGUGCUUUCUCUCUGUCCCUCUGUUUGUCCACUGACCCAGGCCUGGAUUCACACUGAUGUCUGAGAUCAAGGCCAGCCCGGCAGGACUCAUUCUCACUCCUGCUGUUGAUCCAUAAGCCCCUCCACGCUCCCCACAGGGAGACACUGGCUCUCGCCACGCAGCAUGCCUUCGCCUGUUUGUUCAAGCCCAGUGUGCCUUCGUGGAAGCUUCGCAAUCAUUAGCCUGCUCUCACUUGAAUGCAUGUGCUAAGGAGAAUACAGCGACCUUUGUCUUCAGGUGUUUCCGGUCAGAAUGCCCCUUUCCCAACUUCCUUAGGCCAGCUCCUCUUUCCGCCCCAUCACGGAGUCAGGUUUAUCUAUCAGUGAGUGUCUUCUCACAGUCUGUGUUCCAUCCUGGGAUUCCCCAACCUAGUGGUUGAGGUUUUGUAAUUUGCAUGCAUUAAAAGUGAACUCUUUGUAAUGUGUACAGCUCUAUGGGUUUUGACCAAUACAGAGAUACCUGUAGCUGCUAUUCCAGUAGCAGACAGAGUAUCUCCGUCAUCCUAAAAAUUGCCCUGUGCAUCCCCUUUAUAAUGGCCACCUCCUGAUUCCCCAAAUCUCAUAACUCCUGAUGUGUUUUCUGUCCUCACAGUGUUGUCUUUUGCACAAUGUCAUAUGAAUGGUGUCAUAUGAUACAGAAUCUUUUGGUUCUGGCUUCUUCCUACUUAGGCUAUUAAAAAAAACACCAGAAUUCUGAAUCAUGUGUUUUAUCUUUCUGAAAGGAGUAAGCAUAGCUAGUUAAAAGUCUACAUGUGCUGUCCUCACUACUUGGGGUUGUGUGGGUCGGUUUCUACUGCCUGUUGUUUCUGCUAGUUUUCAUUUGUGUUGAUUUGUCUUCUUAAAUGCCUGGUUCUCUUUCAUAUUAUAUAGGCAAAAGUGUUUAUAAAAAUACUUUGAAGCAUAGGACAAUGUUAUUAUUCGUAGCUUUUUUUUUUUUUUUUUAACAGAGAUUUGCUUCCGGCAGGUUCGUAGCACAAACAUUCUCUUUCAUACAGCUCAGGAAUUGAGGUCUCUGAGCCACACUGAUGACUGAAGCCAGGCUGUAGCCCUCAUGAGGGUUAAUUUUCUUGUUUUCUCCAAGAAGGCAAUCUUUUGGUAUCCCCACCCAAAGGGUGACCCCCCCCCACCUGCCUCCUGGGUUCAAGUGAUUCUCCUGCCUCAGGCUCCUAAGUAGCUGGGAUUACAUGUGCCCCACACUGCACCCAGCUAAUUUUUUUGUAUUUUUAGUAGCGACAGGGUUUCACCAUAUUGUCCAGGAUGGUCUCAAACUCUUGACCUCAAGUGAUCUGCCUGUCUUGGUCUCCCACGUGUUGGGAUUACAGGUGUGAGCCAUUGCACCCGGCCCCAGCUAGUGUUUCUGUUCUUGAUGGGCCUUGAAUUCUGCUUUUUGUCUCCUUAGCCCUACAAAAGAUCUUCAUGUUUCUUUGUCACUCUUUCAGCAACAGCAGUCACCUGUAGACUAAAAGCAGUCGUAAACAAGGUCAUUCUUUAUAACCUUGUCAAUCUUCUAUCUUUAGCAGAUGUUUCUCAUGUUUUGAGCAGUUUUGUUAGUUGGCUGGAUUGAUGGGUGGACAGAUGAAGUAGGUUGUUUCAGAUGACUUUAUUCAUCUCUCCUGGCAGUGGAGAUCCCUGUUCCUCUCUUGGGUAAGCCCUUCCACCAGAUCAUUGGCCCCUGAGCUGACUCUCCACUAUAGACUUGGGGUGUGGGCUUGUUCUUCACUCUGGGCCACUGAGACCCAUUUCUGAGACAGAUCCAUGAACUGAAUCUGAAGGACAUUCUUGGGGUGUGUGCCAGAUCCCUACUGACUCCAGUAAGGCUGGCACCAUGUCUGAAAGCUGGAGCCAGCAAAUGAGAUCUAGGGUUUAUUGGGAGACUUCCAUACCAGGCAGCCCAGUGGCAGCAGAGUAGACAAGAAGAUUGCUACCCUUUGUAAAAAGCAGAUAGUUGAUGUAGCAUUUUCACUUAGCACCCUCCGCCUAGCAACCUCUAUUUAACCCAGAACAAAGGGCUCCUAGCCCCUGUACAGUCUGCAUUCCAAGGAUGGGCCAGGGGUUUGGAUGUCCUUCACAGAUAAGGAGUGAGUCUCCAAAUCAGCCACUCCUGGAUUCCCUAACUCAGAAGUCUGCCAACACUCUUCUUAGACCAUGCGGCCAUGCCCGGGUGAGCGUCGGUGAUGGCUGUCAGAUGCCUCCGUCAUGCCCAGAGGUGGCCCACAUACCCUGGUGCUCUGUCUGUGCUGCUGGUAUUCGUGUGCAGCACCCCAGAGGAGCUCGAGGGGGCCCUGGCGUACCCGCUGACUCACCUCCUUCCUGACCUGCAUGCACCCCUCUUAGGGCUUGCUUCUCUUUUUCCAGAAAAUUUAUUCAUAAUACAUGAAUGUUCAAAUUAAAAAAAAGUAUUUCCACCAUUUUAUCAUGUAUGUUUUUGAAUGCCAUUAUAGAAUGCCAUCUCAGGAGUUCAAAGUCAGGGUGACAGUGACAGAUUCAUUUCCUAAAUGCUUGGAAGGGAAAUGCAGAAGAGAAUUCAAAGUCUUACCUUAAAGCCUUUGGAUAGCGACAUGCACACAGCAUUCCAGAGCACAGCUAGGUUCUGCCCAGGGCCCUCUGCCCCCUCCUCCCUCAUUGUCCUUUGCCGUUUGCCCUUCAGCCUGAUGGGCCUAGGAACCCCUAAAAAGGUGGGUGCCUUGGCCACAGAGCACCUGCUGCAUGGCGGACCAGAAUAGCAACAUGUGUGCCGGGAAUAAUUAUCAGCAUGGACAGAGCAGGAAAGCGCCCUGAGUUUAUUUCAGGAGCUUGGGGGAGGAGCCAUAAAACAGACUCAAAUGAGCCCUCAUCCCCAGACCAUCAAAACCACUUUUAAAGCAUUUUCCUCCAGGGGAUGGGAUUGGAUUCCAUCUCUCUUGGGUAGAAAUUCUUCUCAUGGUAGCAAUGCUGAGGCUCUUAGAAAAGGAUUUUUAAAAACAUGGUACAAAAAAGAAUCUAGUGAAGUUGAUUAUUCUUAAGGAAGUUGCUUUUGAACAUGAUGUGUUUGCUAUCUGUGGUGUUAUGAUGGAUACAGGUUUUUGUCUGCGGUUCCUGGCUUGUAACUCCCAUAGCCUGUGUUAGGGUCUUUUGUUAGAACGUUGGGUGCUUUAGAAAAACAGAAUCUCUCUGGUCUUCCGACCUUCUUUCACCUGCCCUAAGGCAGGACUCUAUUCCUCCUGCACCUUUCUGACUGUGGGUCUUCAGACCCUCUCCAGAGGGAGUCCUGCCCUAUACCUUGAGGGAAGGAAUGGUGAUGGCAUGGAGCCGCCACCAAAACCAAGAGGACUGGGUUCCGGAGCUUCCCGAGAGCUGAACACGUGCAGGUUCCCGGAGGGUGGUGCCCAGGGAGGGCAUGGACACUCUGCGCCCCUUCCCCUGAUUUCACCCUACGCAUCUCUUCAUCUGUCCUCUUUGAAAUAGCCUUUUAAUAAACUAGCAAAUGCGUUUCUGAGUUCUGUGAGCUGUUCCAACAAAUUAAUAGAACCCAAAGCCCGGGCUGAGGGAACCCUAACCUGAAGCUGGUCGGUCAGAAGUUCCAGGCCUGGACUUGUGCCUGGUGUCUGGGAGCAGGGCAGCCCUGAGGGAGGAUGUGCCCCCUUCCCAGGUAGACAGCAUGGGAAUUGAACUGGAGGACACCCGGCUGGUGUCUGCUGCCUGGUAUGUGGGAGAAGCCUCCACACCUUUGGUCACAGAAGUGUUCUGGGGGUGAUGGUUGCGGUGGCGUGAGAGCAGAGGAAAAACACGACUGAGUUUUUCCAAAACAGUAUCAUUGCUCAUUUCUAUUUUCCGGUAGGAAACUUAUGGUUUGGGCGUGUCCCUCCAACUGCUUGCUGGUGACCAAGGAGAAGGAACCGCUGGGCUUUAUUUGAUAAUCAACAAAGCAUUAGGCCCGACCUUCCAAUUUUAUUCCUGUUGGGUGUAGCACAAGUAGGUCUGGAUUUCAGAUGAUGGAUUGUUGAUCAAAAACUGCAGUGAAAUCUCGAACUACAAAAUUCACCACCUGGUGAAGAUACUAGAUUUGAAAGGAGAAAUAAGUCCUUGUUUGGACACAGGCAGCUUGCUUCUUCUCCUGGGUGAAAAGAAUAAAACAUGAAAAACCCUGAUGUGGACACAGCACGUGGCCAACCAGGGAUCCCUUCUUCCAGGUGGUCGCUGUGCAGGUGUCCAGCUCUCACCUCACUGCUUAGGGCAACGCAUUUUCUGCAAACGUGAGAACUCUGAUAGCAGCUGUUCCUUGGACUGGCAGGAAAUACAUGGCUCGCUGGUUCCUACCCAUGAACCAGCCUCUCAGGUGCUCCUGCUGGUCCUGGGAGGCUGAGAGCAGACGGGCCUGGGCUCCUGCCUCUUCUCCUGCAGAACUCCUCCUUCCUUCCUGCUGCAGAAGUGCUCAGGCAAGGGCUGCUGAGCUCAUCAGAGGAGGGGACAUGUGGCUCAGACACCCUCAUCCACCCCCCAGAAAGCUCCAGGAUGAGUUAUGGAAACCUGGAAAGUCAGAAACACAGAGCACAGCUCUGGAACUGAUGCAUGUCGGGACUUUGUCGAGACAGAGUCCAUGGAGGAGAGUGAGAUGGCACAGUGGGUGUCAUCAGUGGCCUCAUGCUGCCCAGCUCUAAGUGCAGGGAGGCAGGGACAGACCUGGGUGCAGGAGGGCCAUGCUGCCUCCUGCAGUGAAGCAUGGUGGGGGUGAGAACUGCUCUGGUCACAUUUCCUUCCUUUCAUGGUCCCUGCACUGUUUGUAACAAGAGGGUGGACAUGGAGGGGCCCGGGAGGAUGGUCCCCACCUAGCUCUGAUGGCCUCAGGGCUGGCCAGUACCACCAGCUGCUGAUGCAUGGCCCCUCGUCACUUCCGGCUUCCUGUCCCUCUGCGGGCAUGUCCAGGACAAGUGCAGAUUUAUGGACUUGGCCAAGCUACCCUGCAGCCUGGCUCGGCUCCUUCCUCCCUGUGUGACCCCAGAUGAUCUUAUCCCCUCUGAGCCUCUGUCCACAAAGCGGCAAUGGUGAUUGUCCCCAUCAGGCCUGUGACAGUGGCCAGGCUGUGUCAGGACAGCCCUGGGCCCACUGCAGGAGCCCCAAGCCUCAGGGGAAAGUGGCCACUGCCUUGGCUCUUACUGUCCCUGUUCCUUCUUGUCACAGCAGCUCCUAUGCUAACUUUCCUACUUUCUGUACCACUAAGGGAGGACACUGGGCUGUGUUAUUCCUGGGCACAUCUGCAACACUUGGUGAGCCCAGCACAAAGCAGUGCCCAGGUGUUUGUGGAAGGAGUCCGUGUCCUAUCUGCUGGGAUUCCUCUUUGUCCCCUUCGCUGAGUAGAUCAGGGCCCUGUGCAACCCUCACCUCCCUGAGAAAUUUUCCUUCCUGGGCUGUCCCUGCCUGGUGCAGAGCUGAGCCGUCCUGCUUUGUGGAGCUUCACCCAGGGCGCUCCCAGACACUCCCUGAGAAUUGCAUGGCAGGGAGUUACCUCUGUUCUCUGGGCAAAGGGCAUGCCUGGGCUGAGGCUGCUUGCCCAGCUCAUCUGAAUGCAGAGGAAGACUUCUCUUUGCACCGAGGGGAAGGGUACUAAUCACACCAUUGACUGAGCCUUCAAGGGCACAGAGGCAUAUCAAGAUCCUGGCACCCAGGAACCAAACACCUGAGGGAGGAGAGGAGGCACAGGUGAGGCUGAGCAGGAUAGACGGCCUAAUGUGAGCUCAGCCUCCAAGAGGAAGGGAGCAGCCAUAGGGAGGCAUGAGACAGGGGAGGCUCCUGGGAGGAGGGACACAUGGCCCACACCUGUGCAAACACACCAUCGGGCAUGGCGGGAUUCUGUGCUCCGUGCAUGUGCCUAACUCAGAUGUGUAAAACCCUGUGUUCAAGGAGCAGACAGCCACUGGGCUGCUCCAGGUACGGCUGUGGGGACUAUUGGAUGUGCACCAGGAAAAUGGACCUGGUGUGCUCCUGUCCCAGGUAACUGAAUCCAUUUGCUAUCAGAAUGGAGAGCCACACAACCUGUUUGGAUCACUGGCAAUUUCUCAUCCCGUGACUCAGCGAUUUUACUCUAUGUGGUUUUUUUUUUUUUUUGGAAACAAAGUCUCACUUUGUAGCCCAAGCUGGAGUGUAGUAGCGCUCACUGCAACCUCUGCCUCUGGGGCUCAAGCGAUUCUUGUGCCUCAGACUCCCAAGUACAUGGGAUUACAGGCACCAGCCACCAUGCCUGGCUAAUUUUUUGUAUUUUAGUAGAGAUGGGGUUUCACUGUGUUGCCCAGAGUGGUCUCGAACUGCUGAGCUCAGGCGGUCCACCUGCCUUGGCUUCCCAAAGCGUCGGGACUACAGUCAUGAGCCAGUGCACCCCGCCCACUUUAUGUAUCUGUCCAGAAGUAAUGAAAGCCUGUGUCUACCAAAUGCUCACAAAUGUUCAUGGCGGCUUUAUUCGCAAACUGGAAACGACCCAAACGUCCAUUAGCAAGAAAACAAACACCCAAAUGGUGGGGUAGCCAUGCAGCAGGAGCCUCUUCAUCAAUAAAAACAUUACAAACUGCUGAAACCCACAGCAAUCGGGACGGGUCUCAGAAACCUCAGGCUGAGCAAAUGGAAAUGGACUAGAAACAGCGCAGGCUGCGAUUCCAUUUGCAUGAGACUUAAGGACAGAAUAAAUCUAAAGUGAGCACACCUGUGCAAUAGCUGCUCUGGGGCAGUGGGAAGGGCAGGAGGCUCUCAUGGGUGGUGGCAAUAUUCCGUCUCUUGGCUGUGACGAACUGGGGGAUGUGUUUGCCAAAAUUCAUCCUACUAUACUUCGAUAUUUCUGUAUUUCACUGUGUAUAAAAUAGACCUCAGUAGAAUUAAUUUCAUUGGAAAACCCUGCAGAUUGAAGGCGAAAUUUCUUCAGUAGCCACAUUAGAUAGCGUCACAGCCAUGCAUCAGGCUUUCCAGAUGAAGUAAUUCAGAGCCACCUGACAGGCAUGGAGUGCCUUGAUUAAAUGUGAGCCAGGUCCGCUGGGGAAGAGGCUGGCUGUGUUACCCCAGAUGCAUGUUGCAAACCUCGGGCUUUUCCCAGGAGCCUCUGGCUUUUCUCUAGGGUGAUUGAGCCCUGGAGCAAAAUGGCUUGUUCUGACAAAUGUCGCCUCCUGAAUUACCGCAGGGUAAGGGAAUGCCUUGAUAAUCCGGGGAUUACUUGGCACUGGCUCUGAGAUGUCAACACUUUUGGGGACUUUAAGACACUACCAUGGCCCAGCAGUCAAGUGGGGCUUAAGGAGGUCAGAUGAUAGGUCCCACGUGUGAAUUUCCAUGGGACAGUGUCUGUGGAUUCUCCGGGGGUUUAUGUCCCCCACUUCUUAAGUAUAGUUGAAAUAGUUUCGCUCAGCAACCGGCAGAGCACCCACGGAAGCCCCACAUUGGCUCUUCUGCGGUGGAGCCAAUGCCAUCUUGGUAGGAAGUGGAAAGAAAGGGAAAGUCUUGGAAUUUUCUCUCCCUAUGUCAAUAGUAAAUCAAAAGUAACAAACCCCACAUCCUAGGGGAGUUACAGAGAUUAGUGCCACUCUCAGCUACUGGAGAGAUUUCAGGGUGGUCGUUCCUAUUACGUCCCUGCUUCCCUGGCCUGCUUGACCUCUACUGAGGACAGGUCAUGAGGAAAGAGUGCAUCAGAAUGAAGGUGACCAGCUGGUGACUCCAAUUGCUGCCGUUCUGGAUGAAGCUUCCUUUUUUUUUCUGAGACAGAGUCGCCUGAGCUGGAGUGCAGUGGUGCGAUCUGGGCUCACUGCAACCUCUGCCUCCUGUUUCCAGCGAUUCUCCUCCCUCAGCCUCCCAAGUAGCUGGGAUUACAGGUGUGUGCUACCAUGCCCGGCUAAUUUUUAUAUUUUUAGUAGAGAUGGGGUUUCACCAUGUUGGCCAGGCUGGUCUCAAACUCCUGAUCUCAGGUGAUCCGCUUGCCUCCGCCUUCCAAAGCGCUGGGAUGGCAGGUAUGAGUCAUGGCGCCUGGCCUGAAGCUUCUUCAUUGGAGUCACAGUUGCAGCCUCACGGCACUGAGAGUUGGCUCUUUAUGUCAAUUUCUAAGGACACCAGAAACAAUCUGCUCUGUUUAGGGUGCCCACAGCACCCCUUCCCACUUUGCCUCAGGGUUAUGCCAGUUUUCCUGCUCUCUCUGCCAUGAUGGCAUCCGCAGAGAUGCCAUGGAAAACCAUAGCAGGCCACACCGUUAACACUAUGCUGACUGGUGCUGAUGGGCUGGGAGUGGCAGGUACAUCAGGAGCCUUUGUUUUUGGAUCUUUGGGGUGUUGAUUUUCUUCCCAGAAACCUCCCUGGCGUGUUUGUCCGAGUUCUUGUCCUGCAUCUGGGAAGAAUGAAGCACUCGGGAAGGGAAGGGUGACGAAGACAAAGAACUUUAGUGUUAGAACAGCUCAGGGAAGAUGAGAGUAGCUCCUCUCUGCAGCUGGCCAUCCCAUCUUCUCUCCACCCUCUCCCUGUCCUCUGGUUGACUGUCCUCUGCCCUGCUCUGGCUGAGCCCAGGGCUGUUAUGGACCUCAGAGGGAGGAAGUACAGGCUGACUGGUCCAUGGGUGGCUAUGGCAGGCCAGAGGAGGUGCCAAGAGGCCCCACCCUGGUCCACGGGAUUGGCAGCCCAUCUCCCAGCCUUCAGGCCCUCCCUGGCCUGAAGGUGGGGCCUCAUAGGGACCUCCCCUACUUCUGCCCAGGCCCUACGCUGCCAUUCAUGGCCCCAUGGCCUGGCCUCAACCCAGCUUCGAGAUUGGAGCAGGUGCUGGAGAAGGGAAGGGCCGGGCAGUGGAAGCAGACAUCAGGGGUGGGGGAUGGGGGCCGAGGGUCCAGGCUGCAGAGAUUCCCGGUCCUGCACCUGGGAAGGCCGUAGCUGCAGCCAGGGAGCUCCCACCCCACCUGCAUGUGAUUGCACAUGAAGCUGCAAUCUGUCUCAAAUUAAGAUGUGGUGUGAGGGGAUGUGCUGGAGAAAGUCCAGCAGGCACGGGUCAGUGUGUCAGCAGGGGGCUGAGACCCCUGUAAGAUGCACUCCCGAUUGCCUCCUCUCUCAGUCUAUGUCUGUGGCUCACACAAACUCCCAUGACCAGAUGGCUGAGACCUGCCUUCAGAUGGUUGUCUGGGAUAUGUGAGUACCGGCUGAGAGUGGGCCCUGGGAGCUCUGGAGUGUCCUUGGAAGAUGGCGGGGAAGGGAAAUUGUCCCAGAGGAUGGAGCAUCCCUUAAUCCAGCCAAGUCGACACAUACAACUAACCAUCACAGUCAGGGAUGCUGCUGAGCCUCUUAACCACGCACACAGGACUGGCCCAAGACAAAGAACGAUCUGGUCCCGAAUGUCAAUAAUGCCACUGUUGAGAAACCAUGCCUUACACUGAUUCAUGAGCAGGGGAAAAUAGUUUGACUAGAUGUUCGGGGUCUUGGAAAGAACAGGAUUCCAAAACUGGUGAAAAGGAAGCAUGGUCAGUGACAGAUGCACGUAUAGGAAGGUGGGGAGAGGUACGUGGAUGGAUCGCUCAGAAGGUGGUGUAAAGAGACUGAAGAUAUUUAUAUGUUCGCCAGGAGCUCCCUGUGCAGAGGGGUCUUUGAGAUUCGGGUGGACAAGAGAGCAUGCUCUGUGAUGCUAGCUGACCCUCCCACCGGCCAUCCUGAUGUUUAUUCAGUGUGCCCAGGGCCAUGAUUGCAGGGAUGGAGGCUGUGAAUGGGCACAAAUGACAUGAAUUUCGUCUUGCUAAGGCCAGCCUGGAGGCCACCACUGCUCUGCUGGAGUGACCUUCUGACAACCUCCCCUAUGGUGCAUUCCCAGGAGGGCCGGGCAGAUUCCUCUUGGCCAGCUGGACCCCUUCAUAAGGAAAAACAAUGUUCUCUCACUGGAAUAGGUGUGCCCUGAAUUCAGAUUUGCUUUCCCUGUCUGCAAUGCUGCUAUCAAAAGCCACUAUCAUGGACUUAAAGAAUGCCUUAUUCAUCGCUGUGGUAUUCUACACAGUGUUGCUUCUGAUGAAGAAUUUCAGUUGUACAGCAGUGAGAUCAUGCACAGUGACCUCACUUGCUCCACAUCCCACUGACCCAGAAGCAGCUGGCCUGAUAGAGCCGUGGUCCUGCCUACCGAAGAUGCCGUUAGAAUGCCAGCAGGGAGACAGCUCCCCGAAAGGUCGGAGUUCUACCUUACAGAUGGAGUUUGGGAUUUGAAUCAGCAACUGCCAUAUGGUCUGCCAUAUGGUGGUCCCAUGGCCGGAACACACGGUCUGGGAAUCAAGAGGUGGGCGUGUGAGUAGCUCUUGUCACUACGAAGCCUCGUAACCAAGAAUCGUACCUCCCCUGCCCCACACCUUAGCACGUCUCUGCUUUGUAGUUCCUGCUUCCCCAGGGAGGAGGGCUUCCCAGCAGGCAGCGCAGUGAUUUCGUUGAACCCAGAGCUGGGACCUGGCCAUUGUGGGCUUCUGAGCUACUGAAUCAAUGCAAAGAAGGUCGUUAUUCUACUGGCUGAGUGACUGAAAGUGUUAUCAAGGAAAAAUCGAGUUGUUCCUAUAUAAUGGGGGCCAAGAAAUGAUGUAUGAAAUGUAGGGAACUCUCCAGGGUGCCUUUAGUUAUCCAAAACUAAGUUAAUGGUAAAUGAUGGCAUCCAACGAAAGGACUUGUGAGGACUCAGAAUCUACAGGAAUGAGAGUUUGGAUCACCCAUCAGGUAAAGAAUCCCCAAAAGCUGAGAUCUGCCCAAGAGCAACGCCAACAUGAAGUGGUUAUGGAAGAAGGGAGUUUCGACUGUCAGUGGAGCUGGCCAGCUUCAGUCCCUGCAGCCAGGGCCUGCAGCAGGGAAGCAUAUUUGCCUGUCUUCCUUCUUGCUCGGUGUGCAUGUAUACACACAUAUGUGUACAUACAUACAUGCAUAUGUGCAUAUACAUGCAUGUGUGUAGGUGGGUCAGGACACACAGGGACUUGCUCUUUCCUUUUGCUUCUAGUUUCUCUGUGUUGUCUUGGCAACAGCUCUUCACUUGCUAGCUGCAGUUUGUUUCAAUUCUGUUUUCCCCCCCGACCUUGGAGAAGCGGCCAAAUCACAUCCCCUACUGAGACACCAGCAACCCUCCCUGGAGAUCUGAGCCUAGCGCCAUGAGCCUCCCACUCUGGCCUCCUGAGGCACAGGCACCAGCUGGGAAGAGCUCCCUUUUCAAAGGUCUGAGCUCAACGCUGCGGAGCCCCGCCUUCUCUGCCUGUGGAUUUUAACAACGCGCCCUUUGCUUUGCACCUGACCCUGUGAGGGAGCUGCUUCCUGUAGGUUCUCUCUCUGCGGACCUCUAUGUCUCCUUUUUGUGUUUUUUAGGCUUCCGAUGCCUGCUUGACUAGUUGCCCACGUUAAAUUCUCUGUUAAAAUAACUGGGGUGACUUCUGUUUUCCUAAAUAAUACUCAGAUUCCUUGAUUGGGUGGGGAAACCUCAAGAGCCUUUUCUCGAGUCCGUCGUUUUACAGAACACAAACCUGGGGCUGGUGGAGUGAUGCUUUUCUCAAGGUCAGUUUUGGGGCCAGACUCUGUCUCCCAAUCCAGGGCUCCAGCACCACCCUAUAGGGUCUUCCAGGCACUUUUUAAAGCUUCAAAUGCAGGAUUUUGCCUUUCAUAAGGGAUUCUCUGCCUGUCCUGCACAAACUUAGAACAGUUUCCUGUUUCCUUGUGUAGAAAAACAUUGGAUCCAGAAACGGAUGGUUCCAUUGGUCUUAACCAGGAUUCUUUGGGUAGGUAGUGGCCAUUGCUCCAGCCAGUCCCACAGCCCCACCAGGCAUCUUUCCUCUUCUCCCAUCUGUGCUAACUCACCCCCCACCUGGAGCCAGAUGGACUUGUAUGUCACCUUCCCCGACUGUGAGCUCCUCCUGGGCAGGGGCUUUGUCCAUUCCUUGGGAUGACCGUGUGUUCUGAUGCGGGGAGCACAGACUCAUGUCAGACACACCUGAGCUGGAAUCCUGGCUUUAUGAUUUACUUCGCCAAACCUUACUUUUCUUGUCUACCACCCAGAGAUUUUGCUAUCUCACAGGGUUGUUGCAUGGAGUGCAACAACCACUAUGCACAAAAUGUGCCACCCCCCGUGAUGCCCAUGCAGUGUGUGAGGCACUGUCAUCACCACCUCCAUCGCUGUCCCAGUGCAUGGCACACAAUGGGCUGGGACUGAGUCCUGGGCACACCACAUCUGCUGAAGCAGGCCUGCAGCCCUGGACCCCACUGACAGCCUCCUGAGGGGGCAUCUUUUUUUCUUUUACCGAGGCAGUGCCUCUCCUCCAUAAAAGAGCACUCAGAUAAAAAUUCACAGCAAAAUCCUCCUCCUCUAUGCUCCCAGCAGCCAUCCUCUUGCUUACGAUUGCAACCUCUGGUGAAAACAUGUUAAGGACAACCCUAUUCAGCUUUUGAUAGGGUUUGGCUGUUCCCCCACCCAAAUCUCAUCUUGAAUUGUAGCCCCCAUUAUACCUAUGUGUUGUGGGCGGGAACUGGUGGGAGAGAAUUGAAUCAUGGAGGCAGUUUCCCCAAACUGUUCUCUCGGUAAUAAAUCUCAUGAGAUCUGAGGGUUUUAUAACAGGUUUCCCCUUUUGCUUGGCUCUCAUUCUCUCGUCUGCCACCAUGUAAGACGUGCCUUUCAUCUUCCGCCAUGAUUGUGAGGCCUUCCCAGCCACGUGGAACCUAAUUAAACAAAUGGGAGAAAUAAAGCAACAUACGUCAUCGAAAGAUCAAAAAGACAAGAAUGGAACAUUCACUGAUUUCAUUAGGCCAAAUGCAUGUUUAAAGGAACAAAGCAGAUACGGGGGUGGGGAGGAUGGUCCUUGUUAUAAUUAACUUCAACAAUUCUUAGUUAAAACAGGGCGAAAUUCUCAAAGGUGAUGGCGAAUGGAGUAACAGAUCACUAAGGAGCUUGGUGUUUCUGUGGACCCAGGUAAGCCUGCUUCUCGUGCCUAACAGCACCUGUACUUGUAGGACUAAUAGCCCAGAGUUUCCCACCUGGGCGCCCAGGGAAGACAGGCUCCAGCUGAAUGGUGACUGGCUCUGUCAGAGGUGAGGCUGGCCUCUGUACUGGGGCUCGAGGCCACGGCUGAUCUCCAACACAUGUGCACGGUAAACUUCCUAGUUUUGGUCCUAAGUUACUGGAGACAAGCAGCCCCACUCCCUGCUGCCAAGUCAUCAUUCCGUAUCAGGUGUUUGGAUUUCAUUCCCACAAGCGGGAAGAAUGUGUGCAAAGAGCUGGACAGCUGAUAGGGCCUGGGAGAACUCCACGGACACCUGCCAUGGAGAAUAUUUGCAUGGACCUAGGGGGCAGGCCCUUGGGAAGCACACUCUCCCUCCCCUGGUGCUGGCAGAAGCAGGCCACCAGGCUGUUUGAGCAGCAAUGAAAGGGACACUUUGUUUGGCAAUUCAAGCACAGGAAUGCACAUGUGUGGGCCCAGUCACUGCCGGCUGGACAGCUGCAGAGAGGGCGUGAUGAUGGAGACCUGAUGCCCCCUCCUGCAAGGGACCUGAAAAUAUGGCGUCAAGAGAAAUGACAGCAAAACCACCAAAGAGGAUUAAAGAGAAGGACAAAGCCUUUAACCAGGCCACAGUAGGACAAAGGUCCCAUAAGAAACUUGUAACAGUAUUUUGCCAACAACUCUUAGAAGAAAACACAUUUGGCCAAAGGACCUAGAAGUAAACGCCAAGGUUAGGUAGUUGUGAAAAUCAUCUGGCAGGGGCCUAGGCCCAAAGAGGUGUGUGUUGUUUGGCUCUGUGGUGUCAAAGCUCUGACCUUUCAGUGCACCCCCACCAGUGGCCAAGGGGGAUACCCAGGGGCCUUGGCUCUCUUGCCCUGCUGCUUCCAGAUUUGUCAACAAAGUCAGCCCGCCCUGUGCUGGUUAGUGUUUGUGACAUGCUCCUCCUCCUCUGCAGCCUUGCUCUGCUGACUCUAGGAGAGUCCAAUGGUCAGGUGGACUUUCCCUGGGCUUGGCCAUCUGCUGCCACCCGUGCUGAACUGGGAAGGACUGGGAGACAGCUGAACACUGAUUACAAAGGAUUCUCUGGAAUGGUCCACGUCUACAGUGACCUCAUGGCGUGAGGACAGGAGCCUGCUGCUGUGCACCUGACUACAAGAGCUAUCCAUAGAAAACUCUUUUCAUCCGAGCUGGUUCCAAAAUGCUCCCCUGGGAACAGUGAGCCUCACAUCUGUGAGUAGGGGCUAGCAGCAGGGCAGGCAUUCACAGACAAAGAGGAGCUACCGCUGCUGCCUGGUAUGCUCAGUGCUAUAUCUAGCCAUCUUGUACCCGCAGGAGCCAGGUCACUGGGUCAGCUAAAAUUCUCCACAGUUAGGGACAGUAAUGGAAACUGGAUUUGAGGUGUGCUAUAGCUGGCCUAGAGUUAGAACCUAAGCAACGCCACUUUAUACAAGAUAAAGCUGUUUUUCCAAAAAUAAGUUGUAACCGCUGACCUUGGCUUCUGUAAAUAAAAACAGCUUGCUCUGAAAAAUGCCCACUGUGUAGAGCUGCCUGCCUCUGCUUAUCAGUAACUGCCAGGAUAAUCUUCUGUAAAGUUGCUUGCCCUGCAUCCCCUCACCCUCUUGGUCCUAAAACCAGGAUGUGGUUUUUCAGCUUAAAAACCCUGCUUUCCCUGAGCUCACAGCCAUGGGUCAGAGAGACAUGAGUCCUCUGUGGCUGCUGGCAAUAAAGACCCUGCCAUUUGGCAUACUUUUGUCUUGGUAUUAAUUUUUCAUACUCAAUCUGAUAUUACAUUUUGGAUGCCCCAGCGAGAUUUUAUUUACAUUCCUCCAUCACCUAGACAAAAGCCCUUGGAACUUCGCCCAGGAGGCCACUUCCACCUCGGGGAUUUCUAGGGGAGGCGCCCCCUAAUGAUGUUCCAGGGCCCCAGAGUUCAGCUCCAUGGUGGACAAGUGACUGCUCGGCCGACAUUCAACCCAAAUUCCUUCAGGGUCCUGGAAACCUCCGGAGGUAAGUCUGUUCUGGGUCUGAAAUUGGGACUGGUCCAUCUGUAUCCGUAGCCCAAGUCAGGGGACCGGAUGUGGUCACUGCAACUCUGACCAGGCAAGCCUCCCCGAGACGUCGCCCGAGGCUCCCGGUAUUUCUGUAACCUCUGAUUGUGCGGAGGCUCUGGUAUUAGUUUUUGGUGGUUUUCCGUAACCUCUGUGUGAGUGUGAGAAAGAGUGUGUAUAUGUGUAGUCCCACGGCCAGUAGGCUACGGGACUUGUGAGGGCCUUCACCCGCGGUUCCACGGGAGCGUCAUAAGGCAUAACGGUGAUUCAUCUCAGAACUAAAAAUUCUGAGGUGACCAGGCCCGGGGUUUAUACGGGUACACCUUAGCCAAGACGACCUAAAAUAUCCCUCCGGGGAUGUGGCCGGGCAGGCAUCAGACUGGUCUCCCAUCUGGGAGCACCCAUCAUUUGUCAAUCCUGUAUGUGGUUCUGUCCUUACUGUAAAUUUACCAGUUUUGUUAGACUCCUGUUGGCUGAUAUACAGUGCUUUAGACCUGUUUCCCUUGGAGUGGAAGAUAUUCUACAGUGGGUAACAUCACUGGCUGCAGGGGACCGUUGCUUAAUUAAUGUCCCUAGAAGUAACUCUGUUCUCCUUCCUUCUGUUCUUCUACUACUGAGGCCUCACUUCCUCUGAUUCUAGCCCUGUCUCUUUUUGCUCUAUUUAUUAUAAUCAUUGUGGCCUCUCAUUGUAGGUUCUCUCAGCCACCCCCUCCAGGAUAGGAGUAGUUCUGCCCGUGUUGGGUAUAAUUUCCUUUCCCCUCACCAGCCACCUACUACUCCUCCCCUCAACCUUUUCAGGACACUCCUUCCCUUUUUUAAUGUCCAAAAGAAAAUUCUGCCUGCUACGACUUGGGUGUAGUUUUUUCUCUGUCCUGGGAAAUCAACUCCUAGACAGAAAAGUGCCAACUCUUCUUAGCUGGUGGGGGUGGAAACAAAAGAACUGUCUGUUCUGUCAAAAGGACAUUAAGUGUUGUCAUGGCCAGUGCUCUGAAGCCCACCCCAUUCAGUUUUUCAGCACCAGCCUAACUGCCGGGAGGUGGGUGUCACGGCUUACUAAGAACAAACUGGCAAAUCUCUUGCCAUCUCUACGCUGAUGGAUAUAAAAUUCACACCCUGUGGACCUCCUAGUUCAUUUGUUUUGCCAUUUUCCAGCUUUCCCAAGGCCACUAGAUGCCAGGUGCCAUUUAAGAGAAGACCACGCCCGAGCGGCACUAACCCUAUACAAGGCCUGUUACCGGCCCCUCUGGGGCUUCUUAGGGGAAUCCUAUUUUCACUCUUGGCCCCUUCCACCUGUUCCCCUGGCUCGUACAAAAGACAGACAGAGAGAGAAAGUAGACAGAAGAGGGAAAGAAUUUAAUGUCUUUUAGGGUCCCUGUAUCAAGGCGAACAAAAGCCGCAGGGGCAAGAAACUCGCAGCUGGCCCAGCGGCUGUUAGUUUUAAACUGACAGGAAAAGCAUUUUUUUUCCCCUUCCUCUGCCAGCUGCCAGUCCUACCCGGCUUUCACGCAGGCCACACCACCUCACGUUGCAAGAUUUGCAUCCAAGAUACAACUUAAGAAAGCUUUCUGUUCGCCCUUACUGCGAGUGGCCUGUCGGCAUAGUAGAAAAGGGAUAAAGCCUGCAACUGCAAGGUUGCUGGUUCAAAUCCUCAGCGGCGCCAGUCUUAAAUAAACCUCUUGGAAAAAUUCAGAAGCUGAAAGCUAUAGGACUUUGUGUUUAGUAUAAUUUGUCUUGCUAAGAAUUGGCUCUCUCUACAGCAGAACUUUUCUAUCUAAAAAUCAUAGUUAAACCAUUUCCAGGCCCUCAAAAAAAAAAAAAAGCCAAAUGGGGUCGUCUAGCUCCCGGCCUUGCACCACCCUCCAAUGUAUGAUGGCCAACUUCAAGGUUGGGUUUUCAGGCCAAUAUGGGGUGAAAUGAACCCCUGAAAAACUCCGCUUUUUAUGUGAACUAGAAUGGCUGUCUUUUGGAGUUGGGUGGCCUGACACUGGGACCUACGACCCCAGAAUUACCCAGGUAGUAUGGAAAAUGGUCGCAGGAACGCCUGGACACCCUCAUCAGUUUCCAUGCAUUGACCAGUGGUUGGAUGUAGUCCAACGACCCCCUCCAUGGCUGAAAUGCUGCAUAAAACAGGCCGGACUUCAGGUUGUUAGCCGGCCCAAAAAAGGUCCCUCCAGCACCCGCCAUUCUCCCGCCUCAGCAGAGGAUCGAGUUACCUCCACCUUCCCUUACACCCUCUGGACAGGGGUCCCGGCACCCCGCUCCAGACAGUACUGGCAGCCAACCCUUACACCCUCUGGACAGGGGUCCCAGCUCCCCUCUCCAGACAACACCAGUAGCCAGCCCUUGUCCCCACUCCACACCAUAGCAGGGCUCCACACCCGCCCAGGGUAUUACCCCUUUGGGAGGCGUCCCCAGUGGAAAACAGUAGCUGGGGUGCCCCUUCUUUGUCCACAUCCCCUUCUUCUCUAGUGAUUUAUACAAUUAAAAGGCUCAACACCCUCCAUUUUCUGAAAGCCCCAGGCACUCACAGGGCUCCUGGAGUCUAUUUUACAAACUCACCGCCUACCUGGGAUAACUGUCAACAAUUGCUCCUAUACUGUUUACUACAGAAGAGAGGAGCAGCGUUAGACAGGAGGCCCAUAAGGCCAUCAUCGGAACAGGGGGAGGCUCGACGGAGGACCGCCAGGAACAAAUUAAUAAGAUUUUCCCUUCUAUUCCGACCCCAGUGGGAUCCAAACACCUUGGCGGGUCUACAGGCUUUAAACAAUUUUCACCGGUACCUACUAGAAGGGGUUAGGGGAGUGGCCCGCAAGCCCACUAACCUCUCCAAGGUGGGAACUGUAACUCGGUCCGCGAGAGUCGCCGGCUGCCUUCCUUGAGUGUCUAUGAGACAUUUAUCGCACCUACACUCCUAUUGACCCUGAGGCUCCAGAAAAUCAGCGGGACAUCAAUCUGGCUUUCGUUUCCCAGUCAGCCCUAGAUAUCAAAAAAAAGUUACAGAGGUUAGAGGGAUUCCAGGGAAUGAAUUUGAUCCAAUUGCUGGAAAUUGCCCGGAAGGUCUUUAACAAUAGAAACCCUUCGGCAGCUAUACACAGGAUAUAAGAGUUACUGAAGUGGUAACAGCAGCUCUUCGGGAAACCCGAGUUAUCCCACGGGGAGAGGGAACCUCGCAGGGGAGCCCCUGGGGUCCCCGGCCCAAGCUAGGACACAACCAGUGCACGUACUGCCGACAAGAAGGUCACUGGAGGAGGGAGUGCCCGGAGAGAAGGCAGCGAGAAACAGCACAAGGAAAGCCACCAAGGGCCAUUCUCAAUUUAGAAAGCCAGGAUCGAUGGGGCCAGGGCUCUUAUUAAGCCCCUAAGAGCCCAGGGUCACUUUAAAGAUUGGGAGCACACCUGUCAGCUUCUUAGUCUACACCAGGGCAGCCCACUCAGUCCUUAGCCUCUGGGACCACUAUCCAGUAGAAGAACAAUUAUUCAGGGGGCCACAGGAAAAACUACGACAAGUCCUUGGACCACCAACCGAUUCAUUGAUCUGGGGAACGGUACUGUCACCCACUCCUUUUUAGUUAUUCCAGAGUGUCCAUACCCACACCUAGGAUGAGAUUUACUUCACAAACUUCAAGCAAACAUUUCUUUCGGUGAGGGUGAGGCUUGCCUCUCAAUUCCUCCUCCCUUGGCAUCAGGGCCACCUCAGAAAAUCCUCAUCACCUGUGCUCUGUCAGACGAGUAUCUCUUGCAGGAAGCAAGAGAUCUGCCUCAAAGGCAGAUCAACCACCAUCAAACCUCCUCUGCAAGUUCCAAGAAAAUGUACCCAGAGUGUGGGCUGAGACAAAUUCCCCAGGCUUGGCAAGUCGCCGUUCCCCAGUCGUGGUCCAGCUAUUGGCAACGGCAACUCCAGUCCAGGUUACGACAAUAUCCCAUGAGCCAGGAAGCCAGACGGGGAACUGCUCCACAUAUAACCAGACUCCUAAAAGGAGGGCUCCUUACUACCUGUUAAGUACCCCGGGAAUACCCCCUUACGCCCUGCCUUAAAACCAGGCACAAAGGACUAUUGGCCUGUACAGGACUUAAGGGAGGUAAACGAGUGGAAACUGUCCGCCCUACGGUUCCAAAUCCGUACACCCUCCUAGGUCUCGGGCCCAGACCACCACCAUUACACUGUCCUGGAUCUCAAGAAUGCAUUCUUUUGCAUCCCACUAGCUCCUGUUAGCCAGCCCAUAUUUGCUUUUGAAUGGACUGACCCCAAUACUGGGGUCUUGGGGCAACUCACUUGGACAAGACUGCCUCAGGAGUUCAAAACCCCCCCGACUCUGUUUAAUAAGGCACUUAGCUAAGACCUUGCCACCUUCCGAGCUGAGUUCCCGGAGUGUACCCUACUCCAACAUGUGGAUGACUUACUCUUGGCUACAAAAACCCAGGAGGCCUGUAAAGAGACCACCCAGUCAUUAAUAAAAACCCUACAGACUUUGGGGUACUGGGUCUCAGCUAAAAAGGCCCAACUCUGCCAACCUAAACUUACUUACCUAUGCUAUAUUGUAAAAAAGGGUAACCGGGCACUGGCACCUAACCGAGUCCAAGCAGUGCUGCAAAUACCCACCGCCACCUCGAAACGCCAAGUUCGAGUAUUCCUUGGGGUGGUAGGGUACUGGAGGCUAUGGAUUUUAGAAUCUGCUGAGAUAGCCAAGCCCCGUACGCCCGCACUGGAAGAAAUCAGCCUUUAACUUGGGCAGAAAUAAAGCAAAAGGCUUUUGACAAACUCAGAACUGCCCUAACUACAGCCCCAGCCUUGGCCUUGCCAGACAUCUCUAAACCCUUCCGGUUAUUUGUGCAUAAAAAACAGAGAGUCGCUAACGGGGUACUCACCCAAACAUUAGAACCACAGUCCUGGCCAGUCGCCUACCUUUCAAAAAGACUUAAUCCCGUAGCCUCUGGGUGGCCAGCUUGUCUGAGGUCAGUGGCAGCUACAGCCCUGUUAGUCAAGAAGGCAAACAAACUAACUUUGGGGCAGGAGUUAAACUUAGUGGCACUUCACGCGGUGAGGUCACUUCUCCGUGGAGCUCCGGUAAAAUCGGUGUCUAAUGCCCGCAUAGUUCAGUAUCAGGCCUUACUUUUAGACCAGCCCCGCAUAAGGCUUUUAAAAGCUGGUUUUAAACCCCGCCACGCUGCUACCAGACAGCGAGCCGGAGAAGCCCAUACAUGAUUGCCAACAGACAAUGAAUGUCCUCCAGGCUGCUCAGCCGGACCUCACCGACAUCCCCCUGCAGAACCCUGAGGAGGUACUGUAUACGGACGGCAGCAGUUUCAGGUCAACGGAGUAAGGUGUGCCGGAGCAGCCGUGGUCACCCGAGAGCGGGUUGUCUGGGCCCAGGCUCUUCCACAUGGAACCUCAGCCCAAAAGGCAAAACUCAUAGCUCUGACAAAGGCCUUGGACUGGGUGGAGGGAAAAACUUAACAUCUACACGGAUAGCCGGUAUGCCUCUGCUACGGCUCAUGUACAUGGAGCCAUUUAUAAAGAAAGAGGACUACUUACCUCAGAGGGAAAAACCAUCAAAAAUAAAGAAGAAAUCCCAGCCCUACUAGAGGUUAUGUGGAAGCCCAACGCAGUGGCAUUAAUACCCUGCAAAGGACACCAGAAAGGAAACUCACCAGAGGCGAGGGGAAAUAGGGCGGCCGGCCUACAAGCCAGACAGGCAGCCUUGGGGCCAGUACAACCUCUGACUCUUCUUGUAACUCUGCCGGCCCCAACCCUGCCCCCUACCCCUACAUACUCACCUGAUGAAGAAAACUUUGCUAAAGAACAGGGGGGUGGCCGGGCGCGGUGGCUCAAGCCUGUAAUCCCAGCACUUUGGGAGGCUGAGGCGGGUGGAUCACGAGGUCGAGAGAUCGAGACCAACCUGGUCAACAUGGUGAAACCCCGUCUCUACUAAAAAUACAAAAAAUUAGCUGGACAUGGUGGCGCGUGCCUGUAAUCCCAGCUCCUUGGGAGGCUGAGGCAGGAGAAUUGCCUGAACCCAGGAGGCGGAGGUUGCGGUGAGCCGAGAUCGCUCCAUUGCAUUCCAACCUGGGUAACGAGCGAAACUCCGUCUCAAAAAAAAAAAAAAGAAAAAAGAAAAAGAAAAAGAACGGGGGCACGCAAAAUUCCACAGGAUGGUGGACUCUACCAGACACAAGGAUUGUGCUCCCCGAGGCUCUAGGACGGGCUCUAGUUAAGACCACACACCAGGCCACUCACUUAGGACAGACAAAACUGACUGAGCUGGUGGGGGCCAAAUACCACAUUCCCAUCUCCAGAAUUUGUCAGGGAAACUACAACUCAGUGUCACACAUGUGCCAGGGUAAAUCCAGGAGGCAGUAGGUCUAGUCAGGCAGGGAUAAGACUUAGGGGUACUAGCCCAGGGGAACACUGGGAAGUAAACUUACUGAAAGAAAGCCCCCAGCGUGCGGCUAUCCAUGCCUCCUUGUGUCCACAGACACCUCUGGAUGGGUCGAGGCUUUCCCUACUAGGUCUGAAACCGCACUGGUAGUAGCAAAACAGCUGUUACAGGACCUGGUUCCUCGGCUCAGCUUGCCCGACUCUGGAAUCGGAUAAUGGCCCUGCGUUUACAGCACAAGUUUCUCAGGUCCUGGCUAAGGCCCUGGGCAUAUCUUGAAAACUACUCUGUGCCUGUCACCCCCAGAGUUUAGGGCAGGUUAAGAGAAUGAAGCAGACCAUAAAGGAGACUCUGACAAAGUUCAUGCUAGACAGUGGUAACAACGGGGUCAGCCUGCUUCCUUUUCUCCUCCUCCGUGUCUGAUGCACCCCCUACCAAAAAGGCUUCUCCCUCUUUAAAAUUAAGUUUGGAAGACCCCCUCCCUCACUCCCCAGACCUGCAGAUACCAUACAUGCUGAGGUCCAUAACCAUACACUCCUUAAGUCCUUACAGGCAUUCCAGUCUGUUCAAUCCCAGGUGCACCGGCUCAUCAGAAACACUCAUCCCACUCCCGUGAACCUCAAUGCCCAGCCGGCGCACCCCUUCCAGCCAGGAGACUCAGUCUUUGUUAAAAAAUUCACCACCUCCAGCCUCACCCCUCAUUGGAAAGAACCCUACACAGUCAUUCUAACCACCCCCACCGCACUCAAAGUGAACGGACUAACAGCCUGAAUUCACCACACCCACGUCAAGACCGCGCCGCCGGAAGGACAAUAAAGCGUAAACCCCUCUUCCCCCAAUUCACUAAAAAUAAGACGUGUGCUCUUCGGGGUCACCACCCUCACCUUCCUAAUCUGUUCUGUCAAUUCAGAUAAAUGACCCCCCUUAGACCCCACGUACUAUCACUGGACCCUCACUGUGGGCUCCACUGGACAAUAUGUUAGUCCCUUAACAGCACGAAAAAACACCACUGUCAACCCAACCUUUAUGUACUAUCUGAGCCAACCUACAACUUUCUCCGUGGACCUUUGCGUCCUCCUAGGAAAAAACCUGGAUGUCGGAUCAGUUGGGGGACAGAUUAUCAGGACGGGGGGUUUGCCUCAGGGUGCAGUAGCCAAAAGGCAGAACAACAGCUCCAAAACAAAGGGCUAUACUCAUGCCCUGGGUCAACACCACAAAGUGAAAUUGUGAAAACUUAAAUAAAUUGCUUUGCCCGCACUGGGGUUGCGUAACAAUCUCAA